This 491-nucleotide ribosomal RNA is filed under the name uncultured bacterium. RNAcentral describes it as "partial 16S ribosomal RNA". It matches the Rfam family "Bacterial small subunit ribosomal RNA", at positions 29 to 506 of the family's 1533-position model. The record is from RNAcentral.
AGUGAACGCUGGCGGUAGGCCUAACACAUGCAAGUCGAACGGCAGCACAGUAAGAGCUUGCUCUUACGGGUGGCGAGUGGCGGACGGGUGAGGAAUACAUCGGAAUCUACUUUUUCGUGGGGGAUAACGUAGGGAAACUUACGCUAAUACCGCAUACGACCUACGGGUGAAAGCAGGGGAUCUUCGGACCUUGCGCGAUUGAAUGAGCCGAUGUCGGAUUAGCUAGUUGGCGGGGUAAAGGCCCACCAAGGCGAAGAUCCGUAGCUGGUCUGAGAGGAUGAUCAGCCAAACUGGAAUUGAGAGACGGUCAAAACGCCUACGGGGGGCACCAGUGGGGAAUUUCGGCCAAGGGGCGCAAGCCGGAUCCAGCCAUACCGCGUGGGUGAAGAAGUCCUUCGGGUUGUAAAGCCCUUUUGUUGGGAAAGAAAAGCGGCAGGUUAACACCCCGCUGUUCUGACGGUACCCAAAGAAUAAGCACCGGCUAACUUCGU